GAGACACCCCUAUGGAGCAGGACUUACUUCAGUGGGGCUUUGGUGUUCACUGAGUCUGCCCUUUGAGUGUGUCACU
Molecule: microRNA precursor, 76 nt
Filed under: Myotis brandtii (Brandt's bat)
Lineage: Eukaryota; Metazoa; Chordata; Mammalia; Chiroptera; Vespertilionidae
Description: mir-9229 microRNA precursor family
Rfam family: mir-9229 microRNA precursor family
Source: Rfam by way of RNAcentral